RNAcentral lists this transfer RNA (68 nucleotides) under Jankowskia athleta. Its description in RNAcentral is "tRNA-Val". Lineage: Eukaryota; Metazoa; Arthropoda; Insecta; Lepidoptera; Geometridae. The record is from RNAcentral.
CAAAUUAGAGCUUGAUAAAAAGUAUUUCAUUUACAUUGAAAAGAUAUUAAUAAUAUUGAUUAAUUUGA